GUGGGGAAUAUUGGACAAUGGGCGCAAGCCUGAUCCGGCCAUGCCGCGUGAGUGAUGAAGGCCUUAGGGUUGUAAAGCUCUUUCAGUGGGGACGAUAAUGACGGUACCCACAGAAGAAGCCCCGGCUAACUUCGUGCCAGCAGCCGCGGUAAUACGAAGGGGGCUAGCGUUGUUCGGAUUUACUGGGCGUAAAGCGCACGUAGGCGGAUCGUUAAGUCGGGGGUGAAAUCCUGGAGGUCAACUCCAGAACUGCCUUCGGUACUGGCGAUCUUGAGUCCGGAAGAGGUGAGUGGAACUCCUAGUGUAGAGGUGGAAUUCGUAGAUAUUAGGAAGAACACCAGUGGCGAAGGCGGCUCACUGGUCCGGUACUGACGCUGAGGUGCGAAAGCGUGGGGAGCAAACAGGAUUAGAAACCCGUGUAGUCC
RNAcentral lists this ribosomal RNA (425 nucleotides) under uncultured bacterium. Its description in RNAcentral is "bacterial SSU rRNA". It matches the Rfam family "Bacterial small subunit ribosomal RNA", at positions 354 to 796 of the family's 1533-position model. The record is from RNAcentral.